Molecule: ribosomal RNA, 371 nt
Filed under: uncultured organism
Description: bacterial SSU rRNA
Rfam family: Bacterial small subunit ribosomal RNA
Source: RNAcentral
CGUAGGUGGCAAGCGUUGUCCGGAAUUAUUGGGCGUAAAGCGCGCGUAGGUGGGAUCAUAAGUCUUAUGUAAAAGUGCGGGGCUCAACCCCGUAAAGCGUGAGAAACUGUGAUUCUUGAGUGCAGGAGAGGAAAGCGGAAUUCCCAGUGUAGCGGUGAAAUGCGUAGAUAUUGGGAGGAACACCAGUGGCGAAGGCGGCUUUCUGGACUGUGUCUGACACUGAGGCGCGAAAGCUAGGGGAGCGAACGGGAUUAGAUACCCCGGUAGUCCUAGCCGUAAACGAUGGGUACUAGGUGUAGGGGGUAUCGACCCCUCCUGUGCCGGAGUUAACGCAAUAAGUACCCCGCCUGGGGAGUACGGCCGCAAGGUUG